AUCAUCAUCACACUCCCCUCUGUUUUUCUCUCUCUAUACCCCUCGUCUAUCCCCCCACCAUCAUCAUCAUCACACUUCCCUCUCUUUUUCUCUCUCUCUUUUCCCCAUUCUCACCAUCAUCUCCCCCAUCGUGAAUAACCAUUAUCAACAUCCUUCUCCAUCAUCGUCGGCCAUACCCCUCUUUUUCCUUCUUUCUCCUUUCUCCUCCAACCCUCCAUCUCCACCAGCGUCAACAUCAGCCGCAAAUCCUUCCGCCUUGGAAAAUUCGUCCAAGACCUCAACGCACUCCAAGUCUUACACAAACCGCACGUCUCCUCCGAUCUCAACUUCUUUCUCUCCGUCGUCGACUUCGACAGCGAGGGAGUCUAUUACUUCAUCGAACAACUCGUGUGGCUCGCCAAAUCGGGACCCAUCGAUCUGAAGUGGUCACGUUCGUCCAUAGGAGGUCUGAGGAGAUGGACGGAGAUGAAAUAGGGUUAGGAGCACUGAAGCCAAACGGAGCUUCGAGGAGAAUUUUGGUUCUGUGAGGAGCAAUAGGAUUAGGGAAAGUCGUGGAGUUGUUUUGUAAUUGACACCAGCAAUAGCCAUGAGGACAGAGCAUGAAUUAGAAAAGAGAAAAUAAUGCUUAUUCCAAUUGAAUGAGUACUCUUCAUAUUCUAUGGGAACUUGAAAAGAAAUGCUCCUUAAUGUUAAAUACAAUUGAAUGAGUACUCUUACAUAAUGGUUGUAAUGGA
Non-coding RNA from Arachis ipaensis, 734 nucleotides. The record is from RefSeq and is a predicted model, not a curated record. Lineage: Eukaryota; Viridiplantae; Streptophyta; Magnoliopsida; Fabales; Fabaceae.